GAGGCGUGCCUUUAAUAACUAUGUCCUCAAGAAGAAGGAGUUAAAAGAUGUGGAAUUUAAGUUUUGAGUAGGGCCUUAGGAGAUCAAAGGGUUAGGAAUGACGGGAAUAUGAGACAACCAAGGGGAAGGGGUGGACAUGAACUCAUGAAGUGGGUUGAUAAAUCUUUGUAGCUGGGGAUGGACCUCAUCCUUUUAGUGAGACAGCCAUGAUGAGAAGUGCAUGAGCAAUUCUGUAUCAGUGAACUUGGAGGAGAAAGGAUCAACAGGAGAAGCCAUCAAAGAGAAUGUACUGGAGCUUUAGGAGAAUUAAAAAGGGAAUGAUUAACAUAGGUUGCAGUGAUGAAAGUGGAAGAAUGGAGUGAGAGAGAUUCCUGAAUGUAGAUUGGAAUAGUCAACACAGGUGAUUGUAGGAUAAGAAAAGGCUUAUGAAAUCACGAAGAUCAUAGAGAUAUGGUCUGAUAAAAUGAAUUUAGAUACACAUGCUGUAUUGCUGUUUAUAAUUUAUUUCCUGCUGGUUUGGCUGGAACCUCUAGGUUAAGAAAAGUCUCUUCAUGCUUUAAUCUGAUGGGAUGAAUUUAAGCCCUCCAUUUUAGUGGCAGUGAUUUGUCAUCUUCUCUAUUUUGUUAUCAUCUGCACUGAUAUUGUGCUAAACCUGCAGUUAUUGAAACUUGAAGGAAUGUAAUGGUUUAUGAAGCCACACAAUUUCUUCUUUUCAGAUGUAACAUAUAUUUUCAUCCUAUGUGAAUGGUUUCAUUUGGUCCAAUCUAAUAUGUAAGAUUGUAAGUUUCUAGUCGCCAUUAGUUUGGACUGUCAUUUCAUUGCACCUAGUGUACGCUGCAGGUUAAUUAUGGAUUUCUUUUCCCUUUCUAAAAUGCUUCCAAAUAUUUGUGUUUUCAAGAAUUUUAGAUUCUAAUUUGCUUGUUUUGGUGUUGUACAUUAAAAGCAGAAUAUUAAAUGAUUGCGUUAUUUUUCUUGGCUAAAAUGAGGGUAAAAAGUUGUUAAUUCCUUUUAGUCUUCAAUAUUUUAAUGAUUGCUUGCUGCCAUUUGCAUUGUCAAAUUAAGGGCAUAGAAAAUGGUGGAAUUUUUAUUGAUAUUUUGGUUAAAUUUCUUCUGCGUGUUUCUACAGGUAUUGGUUAUCAG
This 1140-nucleotide unclassified non-coding RNA is filed under the name Hevea brasiliensis (rubber tree). The record is from RNAcentral. Lineage: Eukaryota; Viridiplantae; Streptophyta; Magnoliopsida; Malpighiales; Euphorbiaceae.